This 884-nucleotide ribosomal RNA is filed under the name uncultured bacterium. RNAcentral's name for it is "bacterial SSU rRNA". It matches the Rfam family "Bacterial small subunit ribosomal RNA", at positions 561 to 1456 of the family's 1533-position model. The record is from RNAcentral.
UAAAGGGUCCGCAGGCGGGGCGAUUAAGUCAGGGGUGAAAUGGUACGGCUCAACCGUAGCACUGCCCUUUGAUACUGGUUGCCUUGAGUCAGAGUGAAGUGGGCCGGAAUAUGUAGUGUAGCGGUGAAAUGCAUAGAUAUUACAUAGAACACCGAUUGCGAAGGCAGGUCACUAACUAUCGACUGACGCUGAUGGACGAAAGCGUGGGGAGCGAACGGGAUUAGAUACCCCGGUAGUCCACGCCGUAAACGAUGGAUACUAGCUGUCGGGCUUUAGGGCUCGGCGGCCAAGCGAAAGUGAUAAGUAUCCCACCUGGGGAGUACGUUCGCAAGAAUGAAACUCAAAGGAAUUGACGGGGGCCCGCACAAGCGGUGGAGCAUGUGGUUUAAUUCGAUGAUACGCGAGGAACCUUACCAGGGCUUAAAUGCAGAAUGACAGGUUUAGAGAUAGACUUUUCUUCGGACAUUUUGCAAGGUGCUGCAUGGUUGUCGUCAGCUCGUGCCGUGAGGUGUCAGGUUAAGUCCUAUAACGAGCGCAACCCCUGUCGUCAGUUGCCAACAGGUAAUGCUGGGGACUCUGGCGAGACUGCCGGUGCAAACCGAGAGGAAGGUGGGGAUGACGUCAAAUCAUCACGGCCCUUACGUCCUGGGCUACACACGUGCUACAAUGGCCGGUACAGAGAGCAGCCAUCCGGCAACGGAGAGCGAAUCUAUAAAACCGGUCACAGUUCGGAUCGGGGUCUGCAACUCGACCCCGUGAAGCUGGAAUCGCUAGUAAUCGGAUAUCAGCCAUGAUCCGGUGAAUACGUUCCCGGGCCUUGUACACACCGCCCGUCAAGCCAUGGAAGCCGGGAGUGCCUGAAGUCCGUCACCGUAAGGAGCGGC